AGGCAAGACGUAAGGCGUUGCCG
RNAcentral lists this microRNA (23 nucleotides) under Caenorhabditis brenneri. RNAcentral's name for it is "cbn-miR-72b". Its record names the gene cbn-miR-72b. Lineage: Eukaryota; Metazoa; Nematoda; Chromadorea; Rhabditida; Rhabditidae. The record is from miRBase by way of RNAcentral.